This 253-nucleotide ribosomal RNA is filed under the name uncultured bacterium. RNAcentral describes it as "partial 16S ribosomal RNA". It matches the Rfam family "Archaeal small subunit ribosomal RNA", at positions 474 to 727 of the family's 1478-position model. The record is from RNAcentral.
UACCAGCACCCCGAGUGGUCGGGACGUUUAUUGGGCCUAAAGCAUCCGUAGCCGGUUCUACAAGUCUUCCGUUAAAUCCACCUGCUUAACAGAUGGGCUGCGGAAGAUACUAUAGAGCUAGGAGGCGGGAGAGGCAAGCGGUACUCGAUGGGUAGGGGUAAAAUCCGUUGAUCCAUUGAAGACCACCAGUGGCGAAGGCGGCUUGCCAGAACGCGCUCGACGGUGAGACGCGAAAGCGUGGGGAGCAAACAGG